Molecule: ribosomal RNA, 497 nt
Filed under: uncultured bacterium
Lineage: Bacteria
Description: partial 16S ribosomal RNA
Rfam family: Bacterial small subunit ribosomal RNA
Source: RNAcentral
GAUGAACGCUGGCGGCGUGCCUAAUACAUGCAAGUCGAGCGAACGGACGAGAAGCUUGCUUUUCUGAUGUUAGCGGCGGACGGGUGAGUAACACGUGGAUAACCUACCUAUAAGACUGGGAUAACUUCGGGAAACCGGAGCUAAUACCGGAUAAUAUUUUGAACCGCAUGGUUCAAAAGUGAAAGACGGUCUUGCUGUCACUUAUAGAUGGAUCCGCGCUGCAAUAGCUAGUUGGUAAGGUAACGGCUUACCAAGGCAACGAUGCAUAGCCGACCUGAGAGGGUGAUCGGCCACACUGGAACUGAGACACGGUCCAGACUCCUACGGGAGGCAGCAGUAGGGAAUCUUCCGCAAUGGGCGAAAGCCUGACGGAGCAACGCCGCGUGAGUGAUGAAGGUCUUCGGAUCGUAAAACUCUGUUAUUAGGGAAGAACAUAUGUGUAAGUAACUGUGCACAUCUUGACGGUACCUAAUCAGAAAGCCACGGCUAACUACGUG